UGUCCUGAGAAAAACAACAACGUCUUUAAUUAUUGUUUUUGUGGAUUUUCAUCUGGCGUAGGCUCAGAGACUCCUAUGAUUCAACUGGGGUCUGAGGAAAGCUGAUGUCCAUAGGGUAUUCAUCCGUUCUGCUGGAAAGCCUGUUUUCCCCAACUGUAAAAAAACCCCACUCUGCCACAGCCUUUGAUAGCUCGGAAUAGAUCGUGCUUGAUGGAGAUACUGACCAUAUUCAACUGAAUCACUGAACAGUCAUGGAUGAUAUUGAGUUUCAGAAUCUGAUUUCACAUAUUCCAUUUUGAUUGCUGCUGUGCCUGGGAAGAACCACAGAAGAGUACCUCUUCCGAAAGACAGG
Cuculus canorus (common cuckoo) is the source of this 352-nucleotide long non-coding RNA. RefSeq lists it as uncharacterized. The transcript is spliced from 3 exons. The record is from RefSeq and is a predicted model, not a curated record. NCBI's taxonomy places the organism in Eukaryota, Metazoa, Chordata, Aves, Cuculiformes, Cuculidae.